Molecule: long non-coding RNA, 2482 nt
Organism: Thunnus maccoyii (southern bluefin tuna)
Lineage: Eukaryota; Metazoa; Chordata; Actinopteri; Scombriformes; Scombridae
Exons: 2
Source: RefSeq, a predicted model, not a curated record
CACAACUUUUUUACAGCAUUCUACUGCUAGCUGACACAACAUGACAGUAUUUAAGUUAUAGCUGGCAGCUACUAGCAGUAAUAACAGACUCAAACUACACAAAGUUACCUCUACAUGUAACGUUAGCAUAAAGCAAAAAAGUAACAUUACUGCAUAUGAAAUACCUGCUGUUUGUCUAUUGCACAAGUUCAGAGCACUGAAAUCCCUUCAUUCAAGAUAUUAAUUACGUUAGCAUGUUUGAAAAUCUGUCUGUUUAUCAUCAAAAUACACCAGACACCACAUAUCUGCCAGGCAAGUAUACAGGCAACACUUUGCUCAUAUUAAACUGUGUUAAUACAGGAUUUCUCAUAUUAUUCACCUCAUAAACUCAACCCAGGUUGUUUAUACCCUCUGUUUGCAUGCAUAUUGCAGCUAUGAUGUCAGUUGGAAACCCACAUAUCACAAUAAGUCCAGAUAUUAUGAACCGACUGCAACUGGUUUUAUUAUUGGAUUAAUCUGCUGUGUCCAUUGCAGAGUUGCACUUUCUGUUUUAGCAUCUGUAAACUAAGCUCACAUUUUGAUCAGGACACUCACAAAAAAAUAUAUAUACAACAAUCUCUAAGAGACUAUCCUGGCAAAAUAAAACUAAAAAAAAUGAACCAAUAAUUUGUAGACUUAUCUGUCGAAAGUAGUUUCAAAAGUAGACUACGACCCAGGUCAACAUUAAGCAUAUUUUAGGGUUCUGAGUAUUUUUUGGUGACAUUGGCAAAGAAUAUGAAACUUUCCCUUUAGUGAAUGUGAUCAGUUGUCUGGUUUUUACCCUCCUACACCAGCAAAAAUCAGCCAAACUCAAUCCCUGCUGUGUCUUCCCUCCUACUCCUAUUCAGAACCUCUGAUUGUUCAAACAGAGCAUUUUUCCGUAACAAACUGGUGGGCGGUCGUCUGUAAAUUAGAUACUUGUGUCGUCUGUUGGUGUUUGGACAGACAGCUUUAUCGAAUCAGUGAAGUGGCAGAGGAGAGGCGAGUUACGAGCCAGGCUGAAGAGGGAGGGAAGAAUAACAAGUGGUGAGGGAGAAACGGGGUGAAGGGUAACAAUAAAUGAGGCCGUGUUGAAAGAAAAGGUUAUGGGAACGAAUGGUGUCAUCACAGAGGUGUUUAUUGGUGUCUGAAGUAUUUGGAUAAUCGCUUGAUAGUUUUAUGAACUGCAGUCCGAGCUACUGUAAUGUUUUUGACUCAAAGGGGAAUUUUUGACUCGUGAUGGACUGGCAAUUAUAAGAAUAUUUGUCAUAUCUCAUCUAUUAUGUAAUGUCAUGUAGAGAGACUCCUCCGUUUUUCUCGAGAACACGAUAAGAAUCAAUAUUUUUCAUGUAUGAAGGAAGUCUCAGCUGCAAAAAUGUCCCAGUUAUUUGAUCGUGUUUUGCAGCUGGAUUGAAAAUUCCUGAGCCUCUACCCAUCUGGAGAAAUGAUCACGGUGCACAAAUUGUUCUCUUGUUGGGUUCCUACAUGAUGAAUGUUACAAUGUGCCACAAGGCCAGCUCCCCUUUUUCUAAUUUGUUGUUAUGGAAAGAUAUUGGCACAAACAGCUCAGCGUCACUCUCUCAUACUUUUGUCCACAAGGUUUGGUUUUGUUUUCAUGGCAGCUUUCUGAUUUUAAUAAGAAAUCAUCAACGUCUGUUUCGGAGCAGCUUGUCGUAUUAACUAUAGAUUUGUUUUUUUCUAUCGAUCCAGUUUAAAACAGGCACAUUUUGGGUGAAAAGUGAACCUUUUGGCCAGUCUAGGUUACAUAUAACAGCUGUUUUAACAGUAUAUUUCAACAUGUUGUUAGGACCUGUAACAGUUAUACUGUAACCUCAACAUCUUAAGAUCACUUUUCAGUUUAACCUAGCUUUAACUAAGAAGAAACUUGAGUCAAAUCAGUGUUUAUAAGUGUCAACUCUGUUUGUCCACAGCAGGAUCAUAUUGACUCCCAACUCUACUGGCCUGGACUUGAACUGUGUUUUUUAUUGCUAUGUUUUUCAGGAAGUAUAUCACUUAUAAAUGUGAUCUUCCAAAAUCCAUAAAUGUGUUUGAAGGUUAAUUAUGAAUAACAAGAAUCAUCUGUGUUCUACCCAAGUUUAUCUUGACCCUUAAAUCUGUAAGCCUGUGAUAUCAAUACUAUCCUUUCAGUCUUCAGACACAUGACGGAUCUCGCACAUCUAAUAAGUAUUAACCACAGUAGACGGAUGAAGAUCCUGCUGCCCUGCAAUCAUCUCAUUCCUCUCACCUGACUUUCCCGCCCAUCUCCUCACCUGGAUCCCGUUAUCCUCAUCAGUCACUCUUCACACAUACUGGCCUAGAUUCACUUACACCUUGCCAGAUUGUCUAGUGUCCUCAUACCUGUGGUCGGCUUGCCUGUUUACCAGUCUGAAGAUUUUGCCUGUUCCCCCUUGGAUUUGUCUGCCUGCCUGCCUGGUUUAUGACCCCUGCUUGUUUUUCAGGCUUGAUUAAAGGAUAUUGGACUCUG